RNAcentral lists this long non-coding RNA (1535 nucleotides) under Athene cunicularia (burrowing owl). RNAcentral describes it as "lncRNA (ENSACUG00000002885.1)". Lineage: Eukaryota; Metazoa; Chordata; Aves; Strigiformes; Strigidae. The record is from RNAcentral.
UGCCUCUGUGUGUGCCCCUGGCAAACAAAUCUUCCUCACCGAACGCAGGGAGCGGUAGACUUGUGCCAGACAGAGCCCAAACUCCCAUCGAUGUCUGUAGGUCCCACUGAUGUCCUUGGGAAGUUGGAACUGACACCCCCUGGGACCUUGCAGAGCUGAUCACUGCUGGCACCAAGUUCCUGCAUCCAGCGGGUCUCUGUGCCGUGAUUGCUGGGGGAGCUGGCACAGAGGAAAGGUUUGCAUUCCUUCUCCUUGCUCUUGCCACAAUUAAAUAACUGAAACCCAUGGUGGGGAAGGUAUCUGUCUCCGAUGCUCUGCCUCCUGCCACCUGAUCUUCCAGCCUUUCAGUCCCUCACUCUGCUUUCCAACCUGCAGCAGGCGAGAGCCAGAAAGCCCCAGCCGGAAAGGGAUCAGCCUGGCUGAGACAGAGUUCAUCCAUUCCAGAAGCGCUGCCCCAGGCUGUGGGCAGGUGAAGCUGCCUUCCUCCUGCCAGUCUCCUCCACAGGGCCAGGGCACAGGAGCCUGUCCCAGGGCUGAGGGAGCCUGUCCCAGGCAAGGCUUUACCUUUCCUUGGCUACGCCUACAGUACCACUGGAUGUCACUGUUGUUUCAUGAAAGACAAAAAUCUUACUGACAGCUUUUUGACAGAUAAUGUUUAGUAAACAAACAUAUAUGUAUUUAUAGUCCCUUCCCCACAACUGUUCUGCACAAGGAUCGAAAUUACAGAAUGACUGUGCAGCCCCCUGGCUCUCACAUUUUUGAUUACUAUUUUAUGGCGAUUGUAUUUAUGGGUCCUUUUGUGGCACUCCCGGAGGCAUCUUAUCCAUAAAGGAUUGCUUUCUGCUGUGGUAGAUGUAGAAUGUGGCAGAGCUGCCAUAAUGCAUUUCAGUUGCAUUUUUUUAUUUUUUGCUUCCAAUCGUAUUAUUUCCUGGGAAAUAUUUUAAAUCCCCUCAGCUGGACUGAUUGCAGCUGUGGUUGGGUGGACAAGCGAGCUGCCUGCUGGAGCUGGUGUCUAUGGCUGAAGCCCUGAAGAUCCCGGCAUUGCCAGGGGCAACGCUGCCCAUAAAUCAGGAUUACCCUGGAGGUGUCUGCCCCUAAAUCAGGCACAGCUUGUACUAAGAGGCAGUGAGAAACUCAGACCCCAUUUCUUACAAAUGGAAAAUGUUUUUUUCCCUGCUGGUUGCCUGAGGUGGUAUUCAUCCAGCUAAAUGAAGACAUAUAACUCUCCUUAAGGUCAGUGGAGAGGAACAGGCAAUUCCAGGAAAGUGAUUCAUCUCAUCUGAAAGAAUAUUUCUAGGAGAUAGGUCAGGUAGAUAAAGGCUUACAGACACCUAUUUCUGCCAGCUGCUGCUGCAGGAGCCUUCAGUGACCUGCUGAAGGGUAGACCAGUCAGACAAGAAGAAUCUUACCAGUUUUGCCUAGUAUAGGUGCCGCUACAGCACGGUUUUUUAAACAGUAUACAGACAUUUCCUACAUAAGCACUCCACAAUUAACAGUCUUUGAGUCAGCUUUUUACAUAUUUCCCUAAAGCUAAA